RNAcentral lists this ribosomal RNA (484 nucleotides) under uncultured bacterium. RNAcentral describes it as "partial 16S ribosomal RNA". It matches the Rfam family "Bacterial small subunit ribosomal RNA", at positions 30 to 507 of the family's 1533-position model. The record is from RNAcentral.
AUUGAACGCUAGCGGGAUGCUUUACACAUGCAAGUCGAACGGCGGCGCGGACUUCGGUCUGGCGGCGAGUGGCGAACGGGUGAGUAAUGUAUCGGAACGUGCCCAGUAGCGGGGGAUAACUACGCGAAAGCGUAGCUAAUACCGCAUACGCCCUACGGGGGAAAGCAGGGGAUCGUAAGACCUUGCACUAUUGGAGCGGCCGAUAUCGGAUUAGCUAGUUGGUGAGGUAACGGCUCACCAAGGCGACGAUCCGUAGCUGGUUUGAGAGGACGACCAGCCACACUGGGACUGAGACACGGCCCAGACUCCUACGGGAGGCAGCAGUGGGGAAUUUUGGACAAUGGGGGCAACCCUGAUCCAGCCAUCCCGCGUGUGCGAUGAAGGCCUUCGGGUUGUAAAGCACUUUUGGCAGGAAAGAAACGUCGCGGGCUAAUACCCCGUGGAACUGACGAUACCUGCAGAAUAAGCACCGGCUAACUACGUG